This 4239-nucleotide long non-coding RNA is filed under the name Dicentrarchus labrax (European seabass). Its description in RNAcentral is "lncRNA (ENSDLAG00005026877.1)". Lineage: Eukaryota; Metazoa; Chordata; Actinopteri; Moronidae. The record is from RNAcentral.
UCAGCUGAUAUAAAAGGAGACUUCGUGCCAGACUUCAUAUGAAAAUCUUCCUCUUUCAGCCCAUUUCUACCAAAAUACCAAGGCAGUCUUAAAUACGACACAUUUUCAAUGGAGUUUGGCACAACUUUCUGUUCAACCUGCAGCAUCUGAAGCACUGCCCAAUAAAGUAAAAUAAACAUUACAAAGUCAGAGGACAGCUGGUAGGAAACACAUGCUCUCAAAUCAUUAUGUACCUUGUACUUUAAAGCAUUAAAGUAUUUUAACACUGCUGUAUGCACACACACACACUGCACACACACACACACACACACACACACACACACACACACACACAACANNNNNNNNNNNNNNNNNNNNNNNNNNNNNNNNNNNNNNNNNNNNNNNNNNNNNNNNNNNNNNNNNNNNNNNNNNNNNNNNNNNNNNNNNNNNNNNNNNNNUUGUACUAAAGUACAGUAGUUGAGUAAAUGUACUUAGUUACUUUCCUCCACUGGCUGCAGCUUCAUGCCGCCAUCUAGUGGACUGAUAGUAGAAGUCCAGCAGCUGAUGGCAGCUUCCUCUGCCUCACACUGCUGUCUGACUGCAUUCAACUGACACUGAUAUGAAAGAGAGAAUAAGAGCCAAUCACUGGAGGAGCCGCUGAUCUUCUUACAGCAGAAAUGAUGGAAAGGAUGAUUUCAGUUGAUGUGCACAUGAUGAUUUGUGUUUCCUCUCCAGAGCACAGUGUGUGUGAGCUGAUGUGGAUGUGAGUUCAGCAGCAUGAGUCAGUGUGAGGACAGAGAGGGGACGGAGCCCCUCCCUCUAAAAGCACUCUGUGGGGACCUGAACCUGGACCUGGACCUGAACCUGAACCUAGCUGUGUGUCCUUCAAGAGCGAUCGGUCAAAAGAUGCUAUUAUUGAAUUUAAACAAAGACAUUUGUCUCACAAAAGGAUCUAUAGGAGACCAGACUCUACUGGACCUGGACCUGGACCCAGCUGUGUGUCCUUCAAGAGCGACCUGUCAAAAGGGAUCAUCACUGACUUUAAAAGAAGACAAUCAUGUGACAUAAAGUAAGAUGUUGUGAUACUUUAAUGAUUCCUUUUUAUAUUGGGGCUGAAACGACUCCUCCAGGAACUGGAUGACUAAAGUUCUUUGCAUCGAGGCUUCAUGUAAUCCAUACAAGUACAUACAGCCAUACAGCGCACUCUGUGUUGCACAGAUUAUCACUGUCACACAACGCACUUUGGAGAGAGAAAAUAACGAGGGGGGAAGAGAAGAGACAGAAAGUGUCCAAAGUUUGUGACCAUUUCAAUCAGAAAACAAAAUGCAAACUCUGUACAGUGUCUGUUGCAAACUAGCCGAGCACAAGAGCACAACGUCGCUGUGGAAUAGAGGUGUGAAUUGUCACUGAUCUCCCGAUUUGAUUCGAUUACGAUUAUCAUGUUUUUGAUUCGAUUCCUCGAUGCAUCACGAUGCUUCAAAUACAUUUUUCUAUUAAAGCCAUAUAGGAUAUUUGACUUGACGGAAUGCAUUAAGAUACCGUAUAGUUCAAUAUAAUACUGUUUUCUAUAUUACUUCAUAUGGUUGUUUUCAUCCAAAAAUACAAGUAGUAAGAUAUAACAAUCUUUUUUAUUUACCAGUCUGAACACAGCAGACAGCACACACACACACACACACACAUCUCCCGAUCGUGUCAUUAGACAGAGGGACAGUAUUCAGUGUCUCAGCACUUUUCUCACCUAUGAUUGUGACCAUGUCCGAUGCUGCCGGAGUAUUCGCUCCUCUGCUAUUGUGUGAUGGUUUUUUGCACCUUGCGAUGUGGCGGUGUGUGUACGGUGUGUUUUUAUUUACUGAUGCCGCACUCACUAAAUGACCGGCCUGUUGGCGAUACUCAUCGAGCUUUCGAUGAAAAAGUCCAGUGGUCUAUUGAUAUAACUGGGUGUAAGGUCUCCAAGUGCCGUCUUAAUUAGUUUGGUUUCAUGCUGUCCGCUGCCAGAGUUUUUAAACAUUAAACACACACAGGUCUUUCCUCAUUUCCGACCGUAUUCACGGUAAACCCAGGGCUAUGUAGGCUUCGUCAUAUUUCCUGCUCUUAUUAGGUUUCUGCCGGUUACCGUCACUUGCUGUUCUUGCCUCUGACGUCUCCUCCGUUUUUUUUUUUUACUCCUGUCAGAAACUUCUCCAUCUCUCCUCCUCCGUCAGUCCCCCCUACCUGUCGCGCCCCACUAUUUGAGAAGUACUGGUCUAGAUGAAACGGGUUAGGCUACUGAGAAUGUUAUUUUUCAUUUGAAUGUUUAUGCCGCGGCCGGAAAAUAAACAAGUGACAUCAUUGCGUUAUAAUUGAUUAUGGUCGGCCACAACAUCGAUGCAGCAUCGUCCAUGUCUGCAUCGUGAUGCAUCGCUUAUUUGAUUAAUUUCAACACUUCUACUGUGGAAAGAGAGCAAUAGAUAGUAAGUAAUCAUAAGGGAUCAAUCAUCUGAUCACGUGUGGUUUUCUAAAAGUUUUACCUCCAGUUUAUCUGCUGAUAGCUAAAUAUCUGUCCUCAGUGUGGAGCCACUCAGCUGUGAAUAAGAAGACACCGUAGGAACGUUAACGUUCCAUAAACUUUAUUUCUGAGGCAGAACACACACACAGCCUUUCACUGACAAUUCUACUGCAACCUGAACUUAUUCCACACUGUAAGUCUGACUACAGUAACGUUACUGUCCCUCACACAGCGGGAAACACUCACUGCCUACUGCUAACAGCUUACCCACAAUGCACCUGUCUUAAAGGGGAACACACAGUGCAGUUAGGCUGUGGCUGGAGGAAGGAUCAAUACUUUACUGAAGUAAAAGUAUUAAUACCACAGUGUGAAAACCCUCCACUACCAGUACAGUGGGGGGGGCAACAGAAGACUUUCCUCUGCUGCUCUAUCAGAUUGGACUAACUACCAACAAAUACCCAAUAUUAAAUGACUCAGACCAGGAUUGGGGCCAGAAACCUGAUCGGGUUAUAGAUACAGUUCUAUGAGUCAAACUAAAAUAACCAGAUAAAUAGCUUUAACUGACAAAAUGAAAACUAAACCAUGAGAAACCUCUCGACUUCCUGCCGAGACACAGCCCUCAUCAGAUUACACAGGGACUAAAUGGCUGGUUGUAACGUCCCUGGUUCUCCACACUGAUGCACUACUGCUCAUAAGAUACCCAGGUUAGUUACACACCUUCUUCAUGUCCACAGAGCACAUGUAGACUGGAAGGCCAAACACCCAAUAUCUGGUCCACUGAAUUAGAGGUCCAACAGAGCUUCCAGCAUCCUGGAAAAACGAUUUCCAGAAAAAAUCUUUUUCCCAAAGCCCACCCUCCCGUCCCUAUAUUAAAAUGUGUACCACUGUCCAAUAGUAUCCUCGGUCCGGGCCAGCAGUUCUCCUCCCCAGCUGGAAACAACCGGACUGAGCUCUGCCUCCGUCUCCUGUGUCGUCUGAUGGUUUACCAGAAUCUCUUUGAAGCCAACCAAAAGUUCUUCAGCGUAGCAUCCCCGAACUUUUCCACCUACAAAGUUGUCCUUAUGUGAUCCAAGAAGCAGCUCACCUUCUGGUCUCAGGAUACCUGUCUGCUGCUUCAGGAGUCCAGCGGGCACAGAUUACCUCCUUGGCACAGCUGCCAACUGCUGCCGUUCAGACACUGAUUGACAGAUGUAUUGUUGAUGACCAAAAUGGCCAAAACUGCUUUAGUCCUGUUUUGGUUUAAUUGUCUUAGUUCUUUUUUUAACCCUGGUUUGGGGCCACAUUAAGUGGUGCUUUUAGCUUUGAUUCAGUCCCAGAAGAAGAAUAUCUUUCUCUGUUUCACAACUACGUACUAAUUUCCUUCCAAUUACCACUGGGCAGGUAGCAUCCAAUCAGACUGUGUGAGACUGUCCACAGUAUUAUAUUGGGUCAACAAGUGCAGCAGGUCAAUCAUCUGCAUCAGUGUUCUUCACUAUAAUUUAACUCAAAGGAGCUUGUGUUUGUCUCUGUGUGGACAGACAUAAUGUGAGCUCAUUCUUCAUGAUUCCUCCACAGAGUGGACCAGGAGAGCUCAGAGGUUCCCAGUGGUCAGUCUGCCCAGCAGCAUCAAACACACCUGGACUCCAUAUUUAUGGUCUGUACAUGGACAACAACUACUUUUACAUCUAUUGUGUUCACAAUAAUCUCCAUGCUGCACUUUUUAGACCAGUGGAUUGUCAGUCUGUCCAACAUGGAUCUGAUGUGUGCUUCCAUGAUUUGACAUUGAUUGAGUCAUU